GGAGGUCUGGGGAGCAGACACCUCUCCCUGAGACUGAGCUAUGAGGUAUAUCUCUAAGCCUAGGAGCCAGGCUAAGAAAAAAGAACAAUUGUUAAUUAGGCUUAAGUGUAAAAUGCCUGAAUCUACCCAGAAAUGACCAUGACUAAUUUUCUGCCAUUAUGAGGAUUGGAGAUUCCAAAUAAAGGUAAAAUUAUAUAAUGGAACAAUUAAAAAAGUAAUAUUCUGUGCACUCUACGCUGCUUGAAAAAUUUGUAUAUUUAUAUAUUUUGUGUAUUUACACUUUUGAUUCCUCUAUUUCCUUCUCUUGAUGAGCUGGCUUUAUCCUGAAAUGGAUAAAAGAACUAUGAUUUCAAUUUCUCCUUCUUUUUGCUAAGUUACUUAAACACGCCGUGUUGGUUUGCCUAUCACCAAAGAGCUGGUGAAACAAAGAUUAGUUUCCCACUUCGUCCUCUUCCCGGAUACUUGCAGACAGCAGCGUCAGUGUAUUGUUUCGCCUCUCCGAAGGUGGCUUCGGCAGAGCCCUCCGGAGCUGGCUGUAGUUCCCGGAGACGCCACGAGGUGGCAAUGUAGGUCUUGGCUGGCCAGCUGCCGGCUAAGGUUGAUCUGGUGGGGUCCCCGCGGAGCCUCAGCGUCCUCUCCGGCAAAAUAAAUGUCCGUCGUGCAGGGCAUAUUCUUCGGGAAGGACUCCUGGGAGCUCAGGAGUUUGCAUACGAAGCCGAGGGAGCCAGGGGCUUCUGAAAAUGAUAUUCAGCGUCGAACGGAGUCGCUCAUAGGCAGAGCCGGAGUCUCUCCCAGCUUUGAUGUAUGAGAUUAUUAUGGAGAGUAAUGCAGGCCGAGCGAUGCGCGGGGCAGGCUGUGGAUGUGGAUUCCUCUGUGGAUUGCGAGGCUGGCCGCCACAGGGAUGUCGCUUCCCAGGGACAAAGAGCGAACCUGAGUCUGUGAGAAGGAGAACCCGGGACAGACACUGAUGAGUACCAGCAGUUAAAGACGGGAUGAAGAAUAUUCAAAAGAGGGUGAGAAGAAUCAGGUGAGACGCAGUGGCUUAUGCCUGUAAUCCUAGCACUUUGAGAGGCUGAGGCGGGCAGAUCACCUGAGGUCAGGAGUUUGAGAUCAGCCUGGCCAACAUGGUAAAACCCUGUCUCUACUAAAAAUACAAAAAUUAGCUGGGUGUGGUGGCAGGUGCCUGUAAUCCCAGCUACUUAGAGGCUGAGGCAGGAGAAUCACGGGAGGCGGAUUUUGCAGUGAGCCAAGAUCGCACCACUGCACUCCGAACUGGGUGAAAGAGCGAGACUGUCUGAAAAAAAAAAGAAAAAAAGAAAAAAAAAGAGAAUGCAAAGGAUCAGCCUGUUAAGUUGGAGGAAAACUAGAAAUUCAUACUGAAGCAUUAUCCUUGGAGCAAAGGGAGGCCGUAGUCAGAAGUGUUAC
RNAcentral lists this long non-coding RNA (1425 nucleotides) under Callithrix jacchus (white-tufted-ear marmoset). Its description in RNAcentral is "lncRNA (ENSCJAG00000080451.1)". Lineage: Eukaryota; Metazoa; Chordata; Mammalia; Primates; Cebidae. The record is from RNAcentral.